Molecule: unclassified non-coding RNA, 345 nt
Filed under: soil metagenome
Description: partial contains 5.8S ribosomal RNA, internal transcribed spacer 2, and large subunit ribosomal RNA
Rfam family: 5.8S ribosomal RNA (bases 1-121)
Source: RNAcentral
GAUGAAGAACGUAGCAAAAUGCGAUAAGUAAUGCGAAUUGCAGAAUUUCCGUGAGUCAUCGAAUCUUUGAACGCACAUUGCGCCCACUGGUAUUCCGGUGGGCAUGCCUGUUCGAGCGUCAUUAUCCUCCCUCAAACCCCGGGUUUGGUGUUGGACCCAAGUUGUGUGAACAACUGGUCUCAAAGACAAUGACGGCGUCCGUGGGACCCUCGGUGCAACGAGCUUUUAGGAGCACGCAUCGAGUUGCAAGGACCUUCCGGGCCGGUCUCCUUUACCAUUUUACAAGGUUGACCUCGGAUCAGGUAGGAAUACCCGCUGAACUUAAGCAUAUCAAUAAGCGGAGGA